Long non-coding RNA from Lolium perenne, 558 nucleotides. RefSeq lists it as uncharacterized. The record is from RefSeq and is a predicted model, not a curated record. Lineage: Eukaryota; Viridiplantae; Streptophyta; Magnoliopsida; Poales; Poaceae.
CGAUGGCAAUUUUAUCCACGGAUCCGGGUAUCCACGGAUAUUCGACCCGCCGGGCACGGGUAUGGAGGGUUGAUUGUGUCCAUGGAUUUCAUGGGACGGAUAUCCGAUAAUUCAUGGAGCGGGCACGGACAGAGCUUUUGAUCCAUGGAUAUUCGAUGGAUAUCCAACUGACAUGUAGGACUUGUCACUUCAGUAGCAUCGGUGUGUGUCUUUAGUGCUAGCGGGAGAUUAAUUAGUGCACAUCGUAGUCGACUUGCAGAAAAAAUAGCAUAAGCUCUUAUGUGUAUGCAAUCAUGGUCUCGAGCGGUCAUGUUAGGUGAGAUUCAUGGUGAUCUCCUUGCUGUCCAGAAUGUUCUUGAAGAUGAACAAGAAGAAAUGGAUUCCAAUGAAUCCAUUGUCACUGAAGAAUGAAUGAAUAAGGCUAUAAUGAUCCAAGAUUCAACUCAACCUUUCUACUAUCUUUUGCUAUAUAGCUUUAACGCAUUAGAUGUUGUAUUGGAAUCUUGAAAUAAAAAGCAUUGUCUAUAUAUGUUCCGUGAGAUUGAAAUGAGACAUCUA